AAUUCCGGGUUCCCGGGAAUCCAGGGCCCCUGCAGGCGGCCAGUCCUCCCCUCGGCAGGGGGAGGGCACCCACCUCGCCGGCCGCCCGCCCUCACCUGUGUGCGACCUCAUGUGCCGGGUCAGGUCCUGCAGGGACCAGAACCUCUUGCUGCACACGCCGCACACCUUCUUCCUCUUGUCCGCCUUGCUGGCCGUGCUCCGGGGGGCGUCUGUCUUUGGCUUCUUGUCGUCGUCGCUCUUCUCCGAGGACUUCUUCUCGGCCGGGCCCUCCCCGUCCGCAUCCGAGGGGCCGUCCGCCUCCUCGCUCUGCUGCUCCACAGGUGCUUCCGACGCGGCCUCCCCGGGGCCGGCGCCCAGGGGCUCGCCGGCCUCUGGGGCAGCUCCGGGGGCGCGGGGGUGGCGGGCGGCGGCCCCUCGGCCUCCCCGGGAGGCGCGCUCUCGUCCCCAGGCUCCUCGCGGCCGUGGGCCUUGCGGUGGCGGCUGAGGGUCCCGGGGAACUUGAAGCUCUUGCCGCAGACGUGGCAGGCGUGCUUCUGGUCCGGGGCCGGGCCUGCGCCCGCCUCGCCCUCGGCCAGCUUGAAGCCCAUCAGCUUGCUGGCGAGGUUGAGGUCCAGGCUCUUGUUGCUGACCGUGUCCUCCUCCGGGCCCUCGGCGUCCUCGUCCCGCUCCUCCCCGCGCUCCACGUCCUCCUCGGCCGCCCUCUCCUCCCCGGCGGCCGCUGGCUUCACCUGCUCGGCCCCCAGCUCAUCUGGGGCCGGGCUGGGCUCGGCGGCCCCCUCUGGUGCCGGCUGCUCCUUCUCCCGGGAGGUGAGGUCCAGCACUUCGCCUCCGGCCGCCGAGGCCUCCAGGUCAGACUGGCUGUCUGCGGGGACAAGCACAGGGCCGGGUGAGGGCCAGGCCGCCAGCCGCGCCCUUCCAAGGGCUGGGUCGGGGCUGGGCGGGACCCACCCGGGACCUGUCUCCCACCCCAUCCAAGGAUGCCUCACCCCUUACAUCCUCAAGGGCCAAGGUAAAUCUGGGGUUAAUUUUACAAAGGAAAAAAAAGAAAAAGAAAAAAAAAGUCAGAAGGAGCCUACGCAGCACACCCAGGCCUGCAGCUCCAGCCCCUCUUCCCUGGCCCACGAGCGGCCCGCCCCCUCCCCGGGCACUCGCAGGGAUGCUGGGGCGGGGGCCCCCCAGGGGCGGAGGCUCAGGGCAGCCAGGCAGAGGGCCGGCAAGAGGACAGCUGGUGCAUUCCGGAGGCUGCAGCACGAGGAAGGUUGA
This 1263-nucleotide long non-coding RNA is filed under the name Sus scrofa (pig). RNAcentral describes it as "lncRNA (ENSSSCG00070001423.1)". Lineage: Eukaryota; Metazoa; Chordata; Mammalia; Artiodactyla; Suidae. The record is from RNAcentral.